GACGAACGCUGGCGGCGUGCUUAACACAUGCAAGUCGAACGGAAAGGCCCUGCGCUUGCGGGGUGCUCGAGAGGCGAACGGGUGAGUAAAACGUGAGUAACCUCCCCUUGUCUUUGGGAUAACUCCAGGGAACUGGGGCGAAUACAGCAGAUGAUCUCUUGCUGCAUGGGGGGGGUUGGAAAGAUUCGGCGGUUGGGGCUGUUCUAGCGGCUUAUCAGCUGCUUGGUGGGGUAGUGGAUGACCACGGGUUUGACGGCUAGGCGGCCUGAGAGGGUUGCCGGCCACAUUGGGACUGAGAGACGCACCAGACGCCUACGGGAGGCAGUGGUGGGGAAUAUUGCAGAAUGGGCGGAAGCCUGAUGCAGCAACGCCGCGUGCGGAAUGACGGCCUUCGGGUUGUAAACCGAUUUCGCAUGUGACGAGGCGUGAGUGACGGUAAUGGGUAAAGAAGCACCGGCUAACUACGUG
RNAcentral lists this ribosomal RNA (468 nucleotides) under uncultured bacterium. RNAcentral describes it as "partial 16S ribosomal RNA". It matches the Rfam family "Bacterial small subunit ribosomal RNA", at positions 28 to 507 of the family's 1533-position model. The record is from RNAcentral.